Molecule: ribosomal RNA, 632 nt
Filed under: Stenotrophomonas sp. HPC1281
Lineage: Bacteria; Pseudomonadati; Pseudomonadota; Gammaproteobacteria; Lysobacterales; Lysobacteraceae
Description: bacterial SSU rRNA
Rfam family: Bacterial small subunit ribosomal RNA
Source: RNAcentral
CAAUGUCGAACGGGGCAACCCGAAAGGUUUGACCUGGCUCCUGAGAGUCCGCGAGCGGGGGACGGGUGAGGAAUACAUCGGAAUCUACUCUGUCGUGGGGGAUAACGUAGGGAAACUUACGCUAAUACCGCAUACGACCUACGGGUGAAAGCAGGGGAUCUUCGGACCUUGCGCGAUUGAAUGAGCCGAUGUCGGAUUAGCUAGUUGGCGGGGUAAAGGCCCACCAAGGCGACGAUCCGUAGCUGGUCUGAGAGGAUGAUCAGCCACACUGGAACUGAGACACGGUCCAGACUCCUACGGGAGGCAGCAGUGGGGAAUAUUGGACAAUGGGCGCAAGCCUGAUCCAGCCAUACCGCGUGGGUGAAGAAGGCCUUCGGGUUGUAAAGCCCUUUUGUUGGGAAAGAAAUCCAGCUGGCUAAUACCCGGUUGGGAUGACGGUACCCAAAGAAUAAGCACCGGCUAACUUCGUGCCAGCAGCCGCGGUAAUACGAAGGGUGCAAGCGUUACUCGGAAUUACUGGGCGUAAAGCGUGGCGUAGGUGGUCGGUUAAAGUCCGUUGUGAAAGCCCUGGGCUCACCUGGGAACUGCAUUGGAUUCCGGGACAAUAAAGUGGGUAAAGGUACGGAAUUCUG